This 294-nucleotide unclassified non-coding RNA is filed under the name Hevea brasiliensis (rubber tree). The record is from RNAcentral. Lineage: Eukaryota; Viridiplantae; Streptophyta; Magnoliopsida; Malpighiales; Euphorbiaceae.
ACGGCUAUGUCGUGCGCGAACGCCGCUUCGGUCGCUUUUCGCGCUCGCUCCCCGUCCCAGAGGGCGUCAAACCCGAAGAGAUCAAGGCUGCGAUGGAAAACGGGGUGCUCACCGUGACGUACCCGCGCCAGACCGAGGCGCAGGCUCCCAAGCGCAUCGCUAUUGCUUGAGAGGCAGAGUCCGGUGUGUUCUCUCCCCCCGCGACUUGUAGGAUAUGUGGCGUCAUACUCUCGCUAUAACCCCCUCGAGCUGAAACUUUUUCGUGUAUCGGAGGAAAUACGGCUGUAAUAUCAG